AAUUGGAAGGGUGCUUGACAAGUUGCACCUGCUCUGGAGAGUAUGGGAGCUGCUCAUAGAGUGCAAGGGAGAUGGUUCAAGCCUCCAGAGGGUGUCUUGAAGUGUAAUGUUGAUGGAAAUGUGAAUAUUGCAGGAGGUUGUGUUGGAUUUGGGGUGUUAUUGUGGGAUUCAAAUGGUAGGUUUGACACAGCCUUGACUAGUAUUGUUCAAGGCAUGCGAAUUGCAAGGGAGGCAGAAGUUAUUGCUUUAGGGAGGCUUUGGCAUGGUUAAAACGAAGUCAGCUCUCAAGGGUG
This 293-nucleotide unclassified non-coding RNA is filed under the name Hevea brasiliensis (rubber tree). Lineage: Eukaryota; Viridiplantae; Streptophyta; Magnoliopsida; Malpighiales; Euphorbiaceae. The record is from RNAcentral.